CGUAGAAAGAGAAAGAGAUGGAAAUUGCUGCUCCGUUCGUUCUCUGCCCCAUCCCUUCUUUGCUCUGUUCGUUUGCUACCCAUCUUCUCUCUUCAAUAGUGUAUUCAGAAGAGUUGGUCUAAAAUUUCCCACGGCCAAGGUGGGAUGCAAAAUUGGGUGGAUACAUAGCUUGAGGUCAUUCACAGUGAAAGCUCCUACCUAUACCUUGGAAUUUUUUAAAGGGAAUGCUCUGGAAAGUUUUUCUUAGACAAUCUGACAACAUUCUUAAAUUUCCUGGAUCAAUGGUCUGCAUUUAGGCGAAACUGAAUGAAUUUUUUUAUCCUGUAUUUCUUUGUUUGUUGCUCUACAUUUUCCUUUGGUGUAGAAUUUUGUGAUACUA
Long non-coding RNA from Quercus lobata, 379 nucleotides. RefSeq lists it as uncharacterized. NCBI's taxonomy places the organism in Eukaryota, Viridiplantae, Streptophyta, Magnoliopsida, Fagales, Fagaceae. The transcript is spliced from 3 exons. The record is from RefSeq and is a predicted model, not a curated record.